UCACAGAAACUAAGUUUUGCCUUUUAAAAA
Molecule: non-coding RNA, 30 nt
Filed under: Mus musculus (house mouse)
Lineage: Eukaryota; Metazoa; Chordata; Mammalia; Rodentia; Muridae
Source: RNAcentral